ACUGGUCUGUGAUGAUUAGCUUUUAUUUCUGGACAGCAGGAUGAUAUUUGCGGAUAUGGGACUGAGACCAGUU
Molecule: small nucleolar RNA, 73 nt
Organism: Protopterus annectens (West African lungfish)
Lineage: Eukaryota; Metazoa; Chordata; Ceratodontiformes; Protopteridae
Product: small nucleolar RNA SNORD99
Exons: 1
Source: RefSeq, a predicted model, not a curated record